This 72-nucleotide transfer RNA is filed under the name Prosthecobacter sp. RNAcentral's name for it is "tRNA-Val". It matches the Rfam family "tRNA". Rfam says of the family: Transfer RNA (tRNA) molecules are approximately 80 nucleotides in length. Their secondary structure includes four short double-helical elements and three loops (D, anti-codon, and T loops). The record is from RNAcentral. Lineage: Bacteria; Pseudomonadati; Verrucomicrobiota; Verrucomicrobiia; Verrucomicrobiales; Verrucomicrobiaceae. RNAcentral also lists the same sequence under 1 other name.
GCGGCGUUAGCUCAGUGGUAGAGCGGCUGCUUUACACGCAGCGGGUCGGGAGUUCGAAUCUCUCACGCCGCA